ACUCCUACGGGAGGCAGCAGUGGGGAAUAUUGCACAAUGGGCGCAAGCCUGAUGCAGCCAUGCCGCGUGUAUGAAGAAGGCCUUCGGGUUGUAAAGUACUUUCAGCAGUGAGGAAGGUGGAUAUGUUAAUAGCAUAUUCAUUUGACGUUAGCUGCAGAAGAAGCACCGGCUAACUCCGUGCCAGCAGCCGCGGUAAUACGGAGGGUGCGAGCGUUAAUCGGAAUUACUGGGCGUAAAGCGCAUGCAGGUGGUUUGUUAAGUCAGAUGUGAAAGCCCGGGGCUCAACCUCGGAAUUGCAUUUGAAACUGGCAAACUAGAGUACUGUAGAGGGGGGUUAGAAUUUCAGGUGUAGCGGUGAAAUGCGUAGAGAUCUGAAGGAAUACCGGUGGCGAAGGCGGCCCCCUGGGACAGAUACUGACACUCAGAUGCGAAAGCGUGGGGAGCAAACAGGAUUAGAUACCCUGAUAGGCU
This 471-nucleotide ribosomal RNA is filed under the name uncultured bacterium. RNAcentral's name for it is "bacterial SSU rRNA". It matches the Rfam family "Bacterial small subunit ribosomal RNA", at positions 335 to 796 of the family's 1533-position model. The record is from RNAcentral.